Non-coding RNA from Podarcis lilfordi (Lilford's wall lizard), 74 nucleotides. The record is from the annotation of a GenBank genome assembly. NCBI's taxonomy places the organism in Eukaryota, Metazoa, Chordata, Lepidosauria, Squamata, Lacertidae.
GCACCAUCUAGUUCAGUAAGUAGAGCAGGAGACUCUUAAUCUCAGGGUUGUGAGUUCAAGCCCCACAUUGGGCA